Molecule: ribosomal RNA, 233 nt
Filed under: uncultured bacterium
Lineage: Bacteria
Description: partial small subunit ribosomal RNA
Rfam family: Bacterial small subunit ribosomal RNA
Source: RNAcentral
AGAACGAACGCUGGCGGCAUGCCUAGCACAUGCAAGUCGAACGCUCUCUUCGGAGGGAGUGGCGCACGGGUGAGUAACGCGUGGGAACCUGCCUUGGAGUGGGGGAUAACCGAUGGAAACGUCGGCUAAUACCGCAUACGUCCUGAGGGAGAAAGAUUUAUCGCUCUGAGAGGGCCCGCGUCGGAUUAGCUAGUUGGUGGGGUAACGGCCUACCAAGGCGAUGAUCCGUAGCU